Molecule: ribosomal RNA, 253 nt
Filed under: uncultured bacterium
Lineage: Bacteria
Description: partial 16S ribosomal RNA
Rfam family: Bacterial small subunit ribosomal RNA
Source: RNAcentral
UACAGAGGGUGCGAGCGUUGUCCGGAAUCACUGGGCGUAAAGGGCGCGUAGGUGGCGCGACAAGUCAGUGGUGAAAGCUCGACGCUCAACGUCGAGUCGGCCACUGAGACUGUUGGGCUUGAGCACUGUAGAGGCUAAUGGAAUUCCGGGUGUAGCGGUGGAAUGCGUAGAGAUCGGGAGGAACAUCAGUUGCGAAGGCGGCUCUCUGGACCAGCACUGACACUGAGGCACGAAAGCGUGGGGAGCAAACAGG